Schizosaccharomyces pombe (fission yeast) is the source of this 684-nucleotide non-coding RNA. Lineage: Eukaryota; Fungi; Ascomycota; Schizosaccharomycetes; Schizosaccharomycetales; Schizosaccharomycetaceae. The record is from the annotation of a GenBank genome assembly.
CUCUCUCACGUUGACGCUGAAUGCUAGGAGCAAAAAAAUUAAUUAAACCCGUUUUAACGACUUUAACUUGAGCACACCACAGGACUUUGUAAGGAUAUUGUAAAUUGGUCCGAGCCAUGUUUAAGAUAUCACCUAUACAAACAUAUUUAUAUCACAUUUGUUCGUUUUUGCAAUCGCUUAUCAAAAUUCAUGCAAUUAUAAGAUAAUUAAAGUAAACGAAAUCAUUAAGGUAAGUGAUUAUAGAUUUAAUACUUGUGCUCGUUCGUUUGGUGAGUUUUCUCUGACGGUACAGAUACAAGAUUAUUUUGACUUGAAUACCCCCAUUAUUGAACCUUCAUAGUAAAAAGAAAAACACAUGUGGGGGACAUAUGCUGGUAGGUGCAGCUAAUACUAAAAGUUAAAGUGGGGAAAAAGACCUUACUGGGGGUACAUAAGUUUAUAUGCUAUAGAAGGUUAGCAAAUGAUUUUAACUGUGGUAUGAAAUUAAAGUGGGAUAAAAAGACUUCAGUGGGGGAUUCAAGAAUUCAUUUAGGGAAAUCCUUGAAGUAUGAAAAUUUGAAACGAUAUAGAUACAAGUAAACUACGCAUAAUUCACAAGGCGGUAUUCGAAAAAUGAAAUUCUUAAAAGACUAUCAAGCGUUAUUUUAUUAUAUUAUUAUUUACUACUUUUUUUUUUGUACUAAC